Molecule: long non-coding RNA, 3133 nt
Filed under: Solanum tuberosum (potato)
Lineage: Eukaryota; Viridiplantae; Streptophyta; Magnoliopsida; Solanales; Solanaceae
Description: long non-coding RNA (STUB_LNC009495)
Source: RNAcentral
GCAUAUUAAUAUAAGAAAUAACACAAUAUUUCAAUACAAAAAUAUAUCAAAGUGUACUAUAGUUUUACAAACUAAAUUGAAAUGUCAUUCACUUCAACCAUUACGAUUACAAGAAACUUCAAAUCUUGCUUGAACUUCAAAUCACUACAAAAACUUGCUUAAACUUCAAAUCACUAGCAUCCAAACUCAAGAUAGGAUCUGCAACAGUUCAUGAAACUCAGCGGAUUUCACUACGAUAUCACCUGGCUGCAAAGAGAAAUACACAAUAAGCGACUUCAUCCAAACUCAAAACAUGGAUGAAUAUAGCAUACUUGAUGAAUUUAGUACUACCAGCCAGUUAAGUUAUAUGGUGGAAUAAGACAUGUUAGUUGACAAGAAUAUAUUACAACAAUAACAACAUAAUACACAGUGAAAUUUCACAAGCGGGUUUGGGAAAGGUAGAAUAUACGCACAAGUAAUGACUUAUCCCCAGUUACGCUUGUCAGGGAGCAAAAGGAAAACAAUUACUAUUGUUUAUGUCCAGCCAAAUAAUACAACUUACAGAGUUAAGAGCCUGCUCAAGAAAUACAUCAGUAGCUACCUUUUUGUGUAACUCAAACCAAUUGGGUCUGCGAUGGCCACAAGCCACUACUCCCCUGUACUAAUUUUACUUUUUAAUGAAAUGCUUCAUAUUUCCUUACCAAAAAAAAAGUAACAACAAAUGGGUCCUAGUUAGAUAAAGUCUAAAGAUUAAUUCAUUGGGAAAAGAAAUUAAUUAGUAAUAUCUAUAUGGCUAGAUCUCACAUUAGUUGUACACUGAAAUGUACCUCUAAUCCUUAAUUCUUUGAAGUAUCAAAGUUCCAGAGAAAAAGAUUUUACUUACCAAUGCCAACCACCUUGCUAUGCCUAUAUAACAUAAUUAUAGGUGCAGUAAGUUCUCAAGACAAUGUAAAAUAUUCAUUAAACAACACCAACAACUAUAUAAAAGCUAUAACUUGAAAUGUAAAAGUCCAACUAGUGAAUUAGAAAAUACCAGUUACUAUUCAGAUGAUCAAUUAUAAUUUUUUGAAAAGGCACAAUUACUAAAAAUAAUGUGACCUCUCAAAACUGAACAUGAGUCUAAUGAUGCUUAGGAUUGGGUCUGUUGGGAGAAAUUGAAUUUUGCUUGCAAAAAGAGUCCACUGGCCAUCCAAGAUGUAAUCUUGGCAAUAAUCUUGUCCACUAAGGGUUUAAUUGGACUAUUGUAAGCCUUUUAGGUGUCGUUUAAUACAAAGAUUAAUAAUGUAGGGAUUAGUAAUGCAAGGUUCCUUAGUAAAAUUGUUUGGCACACCUAGAUAUUUGAAACAGAGUUCUCCAACCUCAUAUCCAAGCAUAGUCAAGAUGGUUUCCUUAGUAAAUUUGUUAAUACCUUCAAAACAUACCUGACUUUUCAAAAUGAUGGUCUUCAAAUCAGAAGCAUCAGAAAACAUAUUGAAUUUACCCCUCGAUAGUUGUAGUUGUAUAGAUCUGACAUCUCAUCUAGUAAAUAUAGUAAGUCAACAGCAACAAAGUACUGAUUCAAAACUGAUGUCAACAUCUAGAUGGAAAAAAAUGUUUCAUCAAACUUUCUUAGUUGUAAAUCAGCACAACUACAAAGAAAAAAGACAUUCUUGCAACUCUUCCAAAUCUGUUUGGGUUAAAGGAAUUUUGCAUUUAACUAUCAUUCCAUCUUCACUAACUAUCUAAAGGACAAAAUCAAAUAAAAAAAUACAAUAAACUCACAAGAUUUGUAGAGCGUCGCAGAACUUGAGCGAGUUGUGCAUGACUGCUUAUAAGAGCUUUUAUCUUCUUCAACAAUGCAGCCACAAAUAUUGACACUAUAGCACGAAAAAAUAGUGCAAACUGUCUUAAAGAAAGAUCUCAUCAGAAAAAUGAGAACCAAAUUUAAAAAGAAUAGCUGAAAAGUAGAUGAAACUUACGGAAAUAGCUGGGAAUAUAGACGAAAUCAGGUUCAGUAAUGUGGGAGGAGAUAGUGGUGGGAGUGACGUCUUUGGGAUCGGUGGCAAAAGGGAUGGUUGGGUUUGGGGACAAUUCCAGUUGUUGGGGAUGAUCGUAACAUGUAUACUCAAUAUACUCGAUAUGGUUAGUCAAUCGAUAAAGUGAAACAACCUUAUGGUGCUACUUCUAAUCCUACACAGGCUGAUGACGCGACAAGAAAGAACAGUUCAUCAUCAAACAAGUUGAAAACACCACAUUUCUCCAAUAUCACCACCUUAUAACAUAGAAACAAAUAUCAUAUCUCUCAAAUUUACCAGAUUCACUUACAACUAACAAAAAUCAAUUAAGAAGUUAAUCUAUCCAACCAAAAAAUCAAUUACUAGCAAGUUAUUCUCUAUGUAAACCUUAUUUAAUUAGAUUAUCCAUAUUGAAACCCUAAAGAAUCGAAGUUUAGGGGAAAUCCAAAAAGUACAAUAGUUAUAAACCUUAGAAAGAGCUGAAGCUUCUCCAUGGUGCAGGACGUAGGGCAACGAGCCUAUUGGAGCAUUCUUUUACUCCAAAAUCGGCGAAGAUAUUGCAGAUUUUCUGAAACUAAAAUAGAUUCAAAAUACAAAUCUCAAAACUUUUUACAAACAAUUUGAAGUUGAGAAAAAAAAAAUCAGUUGAUUUAUAGAUUGAAAAUGCAUGAAAAUGAGGAAAAGAGAACUCAUUUUUGAAGCUUUCGAUGUCUAAAUUAAGGAGCAAUUGUUAAAUAGAGAGAAAUUGGGAAGUAAGAGAGGAGAAGAGAAGUAUGAACCAACGAUACCGCCAAUCGCCACCGCCGCCUCCAUCUUUUCCUACUCCGACCACUGUUAUUGUGGAUGAAGACAGUGAUAGCUCCGCCACCAUGGAUUCGCCACCGUGCCGCCUCCAUCACUUCCUACUCCAACCCUAAUUAUCAUAUGAAAAUUGAUCAGUUCGGGAUCGCAGAAAAUAGAAUGAAACUUUUUUUUAUUUGGGGAUUAAAUGAGCAACGAUAUAAAAUUUUAUUUUUUAGGAUAGCGGCGGGUAAUAACCCCACAAAUUCUACUAAAAUUAUAGGGGUUAAUCAAACCUCCGUAAUUUGAUGUAAUUUGUGGGGGUUGAGUUAACCUCCAUUAUAAAACCUCUAGGAUUUAAGUGUUUUUUUGUAGUGGAU